CCGGGAUCUCCGUUAUCCGCUUCAUCAGGGUGCGACCCAGGCCCUUCUUUGAGUUGCGCUUCUUUUGAAGCUUGAGGAUGAUGGUGCCGUACACGAUGGCGAAGCCCAGGAGACGGACCCACCUCAGGAGGAUGCAUCGGAACACACUGGGGUUGAAGUACAGGAUCAUCACCUGCGGAGAGAGAGACAAACAUCGUGUUUUGUUUUCUUACGAGAGCAAAAUCGCACAUAUUGUAUUCCUCUGUAGUUCACCAAAAAAAAAAAGAAAAAAAAAAGAAAAAAAGGGAGCGUUGAGUAUGAGAGAAGCAAAGCUGGAGGCAGACCUGGCAUCACAGAGCGCUCACGCCUCCACAGCUCACACCGACUGAAAGCAGCAUGUAGCUCGUAUGUAGGACACAACGUUAAAUCUCACUUAAAUUUUGCAUUUCCUCAUCUUGUUUUUGCAAAACAGAUAUUUCUUUUUCGCCUAAUUCAGAGCUGACUUUGUCUCUCCGGUUUUCAAUAAAACCUUGAAACUGGUGACAGUUCGUAGAUUAUUGUUUCCCUUCUUUCUGCUGGAUGUGAUUCUAUUUUUUUUUAUUUUUUUUUUUGCCCCCUAUUACUUAAAGUAGAGUGUGAUGGAGGCUGAGGAGACAAGUCUGGCAUACCGAGAAGAUAAGAGCUUCCAUUUGCACUUCUGUUACGGCUGCAUUUCACUUCAUUAGGGCGCAGCUCAGCAGGACGGCGCAUAUAUAAAACUUCCAGCGGCUACCAUUUCUGCACUUAAUGAAGCUUGUAUCCGCCACUUAAUUGGUGCGCUCCCUUGUGACUCUUUAUCCAUGACCCUUUUCGUAAAUUUGCAUUAUUUGGCGGUUUGAGGGAGUUGGGAUAAAUCUGCGUGCCCUUUUCCUCCCCGAGGAAAGGUUGUUAUUAAAGUCUAUGUAGUAGAUCACAGACAGACUCCGGAGGUAAAUACAAGGCAACUAACAUAGAGCAAAGUUUGAGGGUUGGCACACACAAAAAAAAAAAAAAAA
Fundulus heteroclitus (mummichog) is the source of this 1013-nucleotide long non-coding RNA. RefSeq lists it as uncharacterized. The transcript is spliced from 2 exons. NCBI's taxonomy places the organism in Eukaryota, Metazoa, Chordata, Actinopteri, Cyprinodontiformes, Fundulidae. The record is from RefSeq and is a predicted model, not a curated record.